RNAcentral lists this ribosomal RNA (482 nucleotides) under uncultured bacterium. RNAcentral describes it as "partial 16S ribosomal RNA". It matches the Rfam family "Bacterial small subunit ribosomal RNA", at positions 30 to 507 of the family's 1533-position model. The record is from RNAcentral.
AUUGAACGCUGGCGGCAUGCUUUACACAUGCAAGUCGAACGGCAGCGCGGGGCAACCUGGCGGCGAGUGGCGAACGGGUGAGUAAUACAUCGGAACGUACCCAGAAGUGGGGGAUAACGUAGCGAAAGUUACGCUAAUACCGCAUACGUUCUACGGAAGAAAGUGGGGGACCUUCGGGCCUCAUGCUUUUGGAGCGGCCGAUGUCUGAUUAGCUAGUUGGUGAGGUAAAGGCUCACCAAGGCGACGAUCAGUAGCUGGUCUGAGAGGACGACCAGCCACACUGGGACUGAGACACGGCCCAGACUCCUACGGGAGGCAGCAGUGGGGAAUUUUGGACAAUGGGCGAAAGCCUGAUCCAGCAAUGCCGCGUGAGUGAAGAAGGCCUUCGGGUUGUAAAGCUCUUUUGUCAGGGAAGAAACGGCUGAGGAUAAUACCUUCGGCUAAUGACGGUACCUGAAGAAUAAGCACCGGCUAACUACGUG